RNAcentral lists this ribosomal RNA (349 nucleotides) under uncultured Shewanella sp. RNAcentral's name for it is "bacterial SSU rRNA". It matches the Rfam family "Bacterial small subunit ribosomal RNA", at positions 257 to 598 of the family's 1533-position model. The record is from RNAcentral. Lineage: Bacteria; Pseudomonadati; Pseudomonadota; Gammaproteobacteria; Alteromonadales; Shewanellaceae.
GUAAUGGCUCACCAAGGCGACGAUCCCUAGCUGUUCUGAGAGGAUGAUCAGCCACACUGGGACUGAGACACGGCCCAGACUCCUACGGGAGGCAGCAGUGGGGAAUAUUGCACAAUGGGGGAAACCCUGAUGCAGCCAUGCCGCGUGUGUGAAGAAGGCCUUCGGGUUGUAAAGCACUUUCAGUAAGGAGGAAAGGUUAACGAUUAAUACUCGUUAGCUGUGACGUUACUUACAGAAGAAGGACCGGCUAACUCCGUGCCAGCAGCCGCGGUAAUACGGAGGGUCCGAGCGUUAAUCGGAAUUACUGGGCGUAAAGCGUGCGCAGGCGGUUUGUUAAGCCAGAUGUGAA